UGCUCUUUGAAACGUUAGCGGCGGACGGGUGAGUAACACGUGGGCAACCUGCCCUACAGAUGGGGAUAACUCCGGGAAACCGGGGCUAAUACCGAAUAAUCAGUUGGUCCGCAUGGACCAACUCUGAAAGACGGUUUCGGCUGUCACUGUAGGAUGGGCCCGCGGCGCAAUAGCUAGUUGGUGGGGUAAUGGCCUACCAAGGCGACGAUGCGUAGCCGACCUGAGAGGGUGAUCGGCCACACUGGGACUGAAACACGGCCCAGACUCCUACGGGAGGCAGCAGUAGGGAAUCUUCCACAAUGGACGAAAGUCUGAUGGAACAAUGCCGCGUGAGCGAAAAAGGUUUUCGGAUCGUAAAGCUCUGUUGUAAGGGAAGAACACGUACGGGAGUAACUGCCCGUACCUUGACGUACCUUAUUAAAAACCACGGCUAACUACGUGCCAGCAGCCGCGGUAAUACGUAAGUGGCAAGCGUUGUCCGGAAUUAUUGGGCGUAAAGCGCGCGCAGGCGGUCCUUUAAGUCUGAUGUGAAAGCCCACGGCUCAACCGUGGAGGGUCAUUGGAAACUGGGGGACUUGAGUACAGAAGAAGAAAGCGGAAUUCCACGUGUAGCGGUGAAAUGCGUAGAGAUGUGGAAGAACACCAGUGGCGAAGCGGCUUUCUGGUCUGUAAUGACGCUGAAGCGCGAAGCGUGGGGAGCAACGGAUUGAUACCCGGUAGUCCAGCCGUAACGAUGAUGCUAAUGUUAGGGGUUCCGCCCUUAUGCUGCACUAAGCAUUAGCACUCCGCUGGGGAUACGGCGCAAGGUGAACUCAAGGAAUGACGGGACCGCACAACGGGGAGCAGUGGUUAUUCAAA
This 858-nucleotide ribosomal RNA is filed under the name bacterium. Its description in RNAcentral is "bacterial SSU rRNA". It matches the Rfam family "Bacterial small subunit ribosomal RNA", at positions 78 to 950 of the family's 1533-position model. The record is from RNAcentral.